CCCUUAGAUGUUCUGGGCAGCACGCGCGCUGCAAUGGUCUUCGCAAACGGAUGCAUUCUCGAAGGAGAAUGCCAAUCUUGGAAUCUAUGCCUUGGUCGGGACAGUUGCUUGCAAUUUUUCGACUCGAACCAGGAAUUCCUUGUAAUCGUGAUUCAUCACAUCACGAUGAAUACGUCCCUGCCCUUUGUACACACCGCCCGUCGCUCCUACCGAUCGAAGAGUUAGGUGAAUUGUUUUGAUCGAUAAGAUUUGACUAUGGUCAACUCUCGUUGUGAAAUUCUGUGAAUCUGACUGUUUAGAGGAAGGAAAAGUCGUAACA
Molecule: ribosomal RNA, 319 nt
Filed under: uncultured eukaryote
Lineage: Eukaryota
Description: partial 18S ribosomal RNA
Rfam family: Eukaryotic small subunit ribosomal RNA
Source: RNAcentral